GACGUGCGAGGCAAGCGUUACUCGUCAUUAAUGGGUCUAAAGGGCGCGUAGGCGGUUCGUACAGUCAGACGUGAAAUUCCUGGGCUCAACCUGGGGGCUGCGUUUGAUACGUGCGGGCUUGAGUGCGGAAGAGGGUCGUGGAAUUCCCAGUGUAGAGGUGAAAUUCGUAGAUAUUGGGAAGAACACCGGUGGCGAAGGCGGCGACCUGGUCCGAUACUGACGCUGAGGCGCGAAAGCGUGGGGAGCAAACAGG
Molecule: ribosomal RNA, 253 nt
Filed under: uncultured bacterium
Lineage: Bacteria
Description: partial 16S ribosomal RNA
Rfam family: Bacterial small subunit ribosomal RNA
Source: RNAcentral